RNAcentral lists this long non-coding RNA (15353 nucleotides) under Vitis vinifera (wine grape). RNAcentral's name for it is "long non-coding RNA (VVIN_LNC005906)". Lineage: Eukaryota; Viridiplantae; Streptophyta; Magnoliopsida; Vitales; Vitaceae. The record is from RNAcentral.
ACCAAGUUGCUCAGACUCAUGGGCAUCUGCCCUAAUUGCUGAGCUCGACCAAUUCAAGAAUGAAAAGGUUGUUAGUAGAAAUCUUCCUGCAUCAUCCAUUGAAAUUGAUCUCAUGGAUGAUUUCCUUGAGAUGGAGCGACUUGCUGCCCUGCCCCAGGCCGAGCAUGGAAGCCGUAGCCUUGAAUCACAAGCUGUUACCAACCAGACCAGUAAUGAAGAUAGUUCAUUGAGAGCUGAGCUUGAAACCAUGACUCAUCGGAUGGCUGAAUUGGAAGAGAAGUUGGAGAAAAUGGAAGCAGAGAAAGCUGAAUUGGAGAUAGCUCUAACAGUAAGUCAAGAUUGUAUUGAAGCAUCCAAAAUUCAGUUGAGAGAGGCUGAGAUGAAGUUGGAGGAGAUGCAAAAGGAGCUCGAUUUUGCAAAUGAAUCAAAGCAAGCCCUUGAGUCUCAACUCAUUGCAAUGGAAGCAGAGGCUAGGACCAUGUCUGCAAGGGUUGAUUCCCUAGAAGCAGAGAUAAAAAAAGAGCAUGCUAUGUCAGCAGAAAUUGGAGUCAAAUGUCAAGAAUUGGAGGAUGAACUACUGAAAAAGAAACAAGAACUCAAGUUUCAGCAAGCUGCAAGCUCAAAUAGUGAACGAAAGGUGAAGCAGGUCAGUCAUUCUCUGAAUUGCUCAUCUUCUUUUCCAUGUCAAUCUAAAAGAGGCAGGAUAUAAACAUUCCCCUGGUAUAACAUAACAAUGCAGGAGGAGCUAGCCAUUGCAGCUGGAAAACUUGCAGAGUGCCAGAAGACAAUAGCAUCUCUGGGGAAGCAACUAAAAUCUCUGGCAACACUGGAAGACUUCCUGACCGAUGCUGGGAACCUAGCAGACUUCUCUGGAAAAUCAGUGAUUUCUACAGCAGCAGGUGGAGAAACAUGGCAGUUGCAUUCCAAUGACACAUUUUUGCCUAGAAGAAGUGCUGAUUCUUCCAACAUGAGUGCUGAGAUUUGUGGUCCUUCAAUCAAUGGUAACAAUGGGAAUUCAUUCUCAUCUUUGUCCCUCUCAGCUUCAUCCAUAAAUCAUCUCGGCUCCGAUAAAACUCUUCAAGGGUUUGGAAACCAGUUGCCUCCAACUAGGAGUAGGAGUGGGAUUCAGCUACAAAAUCAUUGAUGGUACAUGGAAAAUGGAAAAGAAAAAACCCAAAAAAAAGAAAAAGAAAAAAAAAAAAGAGGAUUUUGAUUUUGCAUUUGUAAAACAGAGAUUUAGUAUCUGUUGAAAUAGGAAAUUGGUGAUUGAGUCCGGUGUUUAAUGGGCAGUUGUGUUCAUAUGGAUGAUGGUGUCUUAGAAUUUUGAGAAAUUAGAGAAGGUUUCAAUCACAAAUUGCAUUUUUACUUUGUUUGUGGUUGGUGUUACUUAUUAAAUCUCAUGUGUUUUUUUUUUUUUUUAAAUGCAUUUUUUAUUAUUUAUUUCUAAAAUAAGAAAAUAACAUUGAAAUAGUAAUAUUUGUAAAAUUUUAAAAAUUAUUUACUAUUUUUUUAAAAAAAAAUUAUCAUCUCAUGUUUUAAAAUAGAUAAUUACUUGUGAUAAUUUAAAUACAUAUUUAAUUAAAUUUAUAAAAAAUAAAAAAUUACUUAUAAUACUUCUCAAAAAACACCUAAUAAAUGAUUUUUUUUUUCAAAAAAAUAGAUCUAAAAAAAAUACUUUUUCCAUUGAAAAAUAAUCAUUUUGAGAGGAUGAUGAAUAAUGACGUAAUGUUCAAAAAUAUUUAUGAUUGAAAUUGGGGUGCCAAGGGCCAGGUGGACUAGGUUGGGUUGGAGUGACUUAGUGAGAACCACCCAAAGCACACACUGAAACCUCACUCCCAAACACAAAGUACACACCGACGUGGGCACUUUAGUUACCCUUCACACCCUCUCUCAUCCUAUCCACAUCUCUCAGCUCUUCAUUAUACUUCCAUUCCCACCUCUCAAUUCUCAAAAUUUAGCUUGACGAACACAGAGCUAGAGCAAAGGUUACAUUCAUUUUCCCAAGAAAAAAAAAUUGUAUUUUAAACCUCAGGCGCCAUGGCUCAGACCAUGCUGAUCACUCCUAGCGUUUCCGGGCAUUCAGUGCUGGAUUUGAAGCGACAGCCUCUGCUUCAGAGACUCAGGCCCAAGCCAUUCUCCCACCUUCUCCUCCCUCCACUUCCCACCUCUUCCUCCACUUCAUCUCCUGCAUUUACAACUCUUGCUCUCUUCAAAUCAAAGACCAAAGCCGCUCCUUCAAAGAAGGUCCCAUCUCCAUUUCCUCAAUCAUUCUUUACUAUUAUUAUUAUGUCUCAAUCUCUGGGUUCAUUAUUAAUUUCUUGGUAUUUUCCCUGUAACAGGUUACGAAGCCGAAGCCACAGGUUGAAGAUGGAAUAUUUGGCACCUCUGGUGGCAUUGGCUUCACCAAAAAAAAUGAGCUGUUCGUGGGUCGUGUUGCCAUGCUCGGCUUUGCUGUGAGAAAAUUUUCCUUUUCCCAUCUAUUUUCAGCUUCUUAAUUCACUGCUUUUACAAGUAAUUUUGUGGUUAAUUAGCUUAGUAUUGAAAUCAGUAGAAUCUAAAUUGGAAGAAAUGAUAGACGUACUCCAGAUUUGAUUAUUUCACUAAACGACAUAGCUCCUUCUCGUAGCUUCUCUUGUAUGUACACGUGUCCGUGUAAAAGCCAUACAUAAAACAAUAAUCAUAGAAAGAAAUCAUAAAAAGUAAUUUGAAAAAUUCUAUUUUUUGUCCACUUCCAAUGGAGGGCCAUGUUAAUGGGUGAUUUGAGAGAGUUAUGUGGGAGCAUUGCAGGCAUCCCUGUUGGGUGAGGCAAUUACAGGGAAGGGAAUCCUAGCACAAUUGAAUCUAGAAACUGGAAUCCCUAUCUACGAAGCUGAGCCACUUCUCCUCUUCUUCAUCCUUUUCACCCUGCUUGGAGCCAUAGGAGCUUUGGGUGACCGUGGCCGCUUCGUUGAUGAUGACCCUCCAACUGGAAUUGAGGGGGCAGUCAUCCCUCCCGGCAAAGGCCUCAGAUCAGCAUUAGGACUCAGGGAAGGAGGUAAACUAAUACGCCCUCAAUACAUACAUUUUUAUAGAAGUAGUACUGCUGAUACAUGUAUUCUGAGCUUCACUUUUCAUUGUUGUGUAAGGUCCUCUAUUUGGAUUCACAAAGUCGAAUGAGCUGUUUGUGGGAAGAUUGGCUCAGUUGGGCAUCGUCUUCUCUAUAAUUGGAGAAAUAAUUACAGGGAAGGGAGCUCUGGCACAACUGAACAUCGAGACAGGAGUUCCGAUUAGUGAUAUCGAACCCCUCGUCCUCUUCAAUGUCAUUUUCUUCUUCUUUGCUGCAUUGAAUCCCGGGUCGGGAAAAUUUGUGACAGAUGACGAAGAGGAGUAGAUUCUUGUUUGUGUGAACAAGACUGGAUUUACAAGCAACUUCUUUACAUUCUACGUUCAAGCAUGUAUCAAAUAAUGCUCUAUUUUGUUGCCUAAUCUCUCUUCCUUUGAAAUGGCAUUUUGCUUUCUCUCUCUGUUUUAAUUGUGCACCGCUUCCUUUACCUGAUAACCCCAAUUGGUUUGGAGUUGGAGUAGACCCAAAUAUAUGUAUGCAAAACCACCAUAUCCAAUUUUUAGUUAGCUGCACAUGGGGGUGGGUUGGAGGAAAGGGUAAAAAAUAUCUAGACCAUGCACAUGCAUUCUUUGGUCAUGGUCAAAAUAGUUGUGGUGGUCUGAGGCAGAUUAAAUCAAGGGGCAAAAGCACCACCCCUCUUGGCACUCAAAACUUAAUUGCCUUUAUUUAUUUAUUUAUUUAUUGUUGGUAUAUGAUUAAUUAUAUGUAUCAAUCAAAAGAUUUUUCUCAACAACUUGCUGCUCUCACUCUCAAUGAUCCAAAUGACCAAUCUUUUAUGCUGAUAUGAUAAAUAAGUAAAUAAAUUAAUGAAUAAUACAUAUUAAAUCAUAUCACGAGAGUGAUACUAUUUAUGUCGGAAAUGAAAAUAAAUAUAUCAAAAUUUUAAAUAAUUAUAUUUUUGAAAAAGUUGUUCAUUUUCAUUCUUAAUCAGAGAUGAUAAUGGGACAAGAUUUUUUGAAUGUGUGCCUACUCCAUCCUCAAUGGGACGAGUAUGAAAUCUAAAUAAAUAAAUUAGAGGUGAGUUUGAGAUUUUUUAAAACUCAAAAUUGGUUUGGGUAUUUGCUUGUCUCAUUUUAUCAUAUUCUGAUUAUAUAUAAAAUUAAAUUAAAUUAAUUUUUAUUUUUUUAUUUUUAAUAUAUAAUAAUAAAAAUAAAAUAAUUUUUAAUAAAAUAAGUUAUAAAAAAUUAUAAUAUUUUAAUUAUUUAUAAUAUUUUUUAUUUUAAUGUAAUUACAUUUAAAAAAAUUUCAAGAAAAAAAGUUAAACAUAAUGAGACGAAUAUGAGAAAUUCGUAUACCACCCUACCUGGUUUAAAUUUUUUUAAUAAGAUAAGAACAAAAAUUAUUUUAAAUAAAUGAGUCCGAGUUGAAAUGAGGGUAACCUAUUUUGAACCCACUCCAUUACUAUUCCCACGAUCCCACAACAAAGAUUAUUAUGAAAAAUGAAACAUUUAAUUAUAAAAAUAUCCAAAAUCAAAUGCAUAAUAGCAAUAACAAUAUACAUAUAUAUUAUACAACAUUUGUUAUUCUUUUAUUUGUAUAACCACCAUUCUUUCUUAUAUAAAAAAUAAUAAAAAUUAAUGCUUCCACCUCUUAAUCAUCAAAGUUUUCAUAUCUAAUAAAAAGGAAUUGAGGUAUAAAAUAUAUAUAUAUUUUUUAAUUUCAAAUUACUACAACUUUGACUUGAUCCAGUAAGGAUGUAAUAACGAACUCAUAAUUUAUUCGAGCACAAAUAUACCUUUUCACGUGAAGCAAGUCAAGUAAUAAUUGAAAUACACAUAAUAAUUAAAAAUUAAACAGUCACCAAGAAUCAGAUACAUGAAGAGUCCAGGAUCAGUUUGAUUCCAAUUCAUCAAGACUCGGCUGAAUCAAUUCAGCUUCCCCACACGUUUGCAGCCACGUGGGAAGGAUCAUGCCUGGCUGUUCCCGUGAGAAAAGACUAUUAGAAAAAGAAAUGAUCGUGAAUGCAUGCACCUACCGGCAAAUCAUGGUCAUCCAAGGUUUCUAAAAGAGUGGUGGAUGGGGAAACGCAAUCCUAACCGUCCACGUACGAAUCUGUCAUUAGAGAGAAGGACAAGUGUCCUGUAAAGGGAACAGCAUCUAACAUUAAAUUAUUCAUUUGGGGGUCCGCUGGUCGUAAGCAGAGUAGAGGAAGGAAGGGACCAAGAAAAAGCUUCCGAUCAAUCUCAAUCUCUCCGUCCCCCUCGUCACCGACCUUUUCCGUAGAUUCCCCAAAGCUCAGUAAAACCUUAUCUCCAACAAGGAAACACGUCUUUGUGUUUCUCUCGCAACCGAUUCACUUCUGUGGAGUCUUCUUUUCUGGAUUUGGGAAGAACGGUUACAGUGUCUAAACCCCGCUCUGAAAUCUGAAUCGCUUCUGCCUUCUGAUAAUAUAUGGAGAAUUCGAUGGUUCUCGCCCACGAAACUCAACCUCAUCGGGACUUUUCUGCUUCUUCUCUAAGAGAUGUCAGUUACAGGUACUCUCUCUUUCUCUUUCUCUCUCCACUGACCUGACUCUAUGAAUGAAUUAUCCUCCUGGUUUGCUGGAAUUUGUUUCCCCAUUUUAAUAUUGAAAAUUUUCGGAUGGAAUGCGCACUGGUAAACUUCAAAAUGUGAUUUUUAUUAAGGAAUCGCUUUCAUUUAUUAUUGUUUUUUCUGCUGCGGAAUAAUUGCUAGACCACUGCUAAGUGAAUAUUUGCCCUUUGUAGUUAUAUUUGGAAUUCGAGAAGUAAAAAUCUUGUGGAUUUUGCUUUGAAUUAUCUCCCAAAGAGGAAAGAGAAUCAUUAAUAUGUCCCCUUUCGCCAGGCUUUUAACACUCAGUUCUGAAUCUGAAUUGUCUUGAAAGGAAAGAGAAGAAACUGUCAGGCAUGUAUGAUGACUGACCUAGAAAACGAUUCAACCCAGAAAAUAGGUUUGGCAGAAGAAUUGUCUUGAAAAAUUUUGAGAAUUUUUUUUUUGAAAACAUUGCUAAAAAAUUUCCUUUCCUUAUUUUGUUCAUCAAGACUGAGGAGUCCAAAAAUAACUUCUCCAUGAUUACGUUGAUUUUUGUUUUCCCUUUUCUUGUUGUUGUCAAAAAACCGACCAUAGGUUUUGAAAAAUUGUUUUCUUCUAGUUUUGGGUUUACCGCUGAAGAAAGCAGUCUUUGGAUUUUCUAUAAUUACAAACCGAUAGCAAACCCAGAACCAGUCAAUUUGAUUUGUCAAGAAGCGAUAUGGUAUAGAAAUGAGUUUAUUUAUGGAAUAUUUAUAAUUUGGAGGUGUGGCAAUAAGAUGUAUGUUUGAUGCAGCUGUGGUUCUUGUGGGUACGAACUAAAGCUUUGCUCCUCUAAUCGGAACACAAAGAAUAUAGGCUCCAAAUAUGGGAAAAACAUAAAACGCGGCGUCAUAUCAUUUCUCCAAGUCGAUGAGAGUAGAUUUACCCUGGUUGAUGAGUUCAAAUGUAUACCCUACUUCAUCUCCAGGCACUCUUGGGGUUUGUUCUGCCACAGAACCAAACUUCUUUGCCGUAAGUGUAGCAACCAUGUUGGCAAUGCUUAUGUCAGGAAGUCUCCUUACCCACUUGUGUUGGAUGAAUCGGAUUCUGCCCCAGCCCCAGCCACAGCCACCACUGACAUCUCCACUUGUAGAAAAUAUGACAUUCGACUCCGUGCCCUGCAGCCCUCAUCUUCUGAGCCCUCUGCCAUUCCGCUUCUCACCUGAUCUGCAGAUUCAAACCAAGAAUAUUCUUAUGAGGGACUGUAUAGCAAUUGAGUCCUUUGUUUUUGGUCUUGGUUUUCUGCUCUUUUGUAUUACUAGAUAGAUGGUGAGUCGGUGACUUGUAAAUAUCAGUUUCCCAGACUGGAUUAUCAAAGUUUAUUUUUACACUUCCAGUAACUUAUAAAUAACGCGGUCGAUGUGAUUUCUUGUCACUCAGAUUGUGCCCUUGUUCUCACUGUUCUCUGUUAGCCAUGACCAUAAUCACAACAUAUCCUUCUAACCAUUAUUCACAUAUCUUGCCCACUUUCCUAUUCAAUUUGGAAACUGGAAAUGUUCAAAAUUCAACAAACUUUCCUUCGCCACGCCCACAGUUUAUGUCAUUGGAUCGGAGUUUUGGGUAAAAAUAACCCAUUUAUUAAAAAAAUAUAACAUCUAACUAUUUUUUGAAACUUAUAUUCAAAUUAACUUUUUUGGUGCCACGUAGGCGUCAUGUAAUUAAAAAAUAUAUAUUUUUUAUUAUUUUAGUUAAAGCGUUAGUUGGUAACUGAGGCUUCAUUUUAAAACUAAAACUAUAAUUAUCAAUUGAGACUUCAUUUUUGAACUAAAAUCGCAAUUGUCAAUUGAGGUUUUAGUUAGUUUUUUUUAAAAAAUUAAAAUUUUAAUUAAAAAUUAUUAAAUUAUAAUUUAUAAUUGAAAAUUUAAAAAUAUAUUUAAAUAAUAAAUUAUUUAUAUUUAAUCUUAAGAAUCUAGUAUUACUUCAACAAAUAUCAAUUGAUAAAUAAAAGAUAUUAUAAAUAAAUAUUUUAUUUAUUGAUAAAUUAAUAAUCUUAAAAUAAUAAACUUAUAUAACAUAUAAAUAAUAUAUAAAAUUGUAUAAUUUAUUAAUUUAUGAUACUUAAUUUGUUAUUUUUUAAGAUAUUAAUUUCUUUGCAUUAUGAUAAAUUUAUCUUUAUUGAAAUAAUAAUAUACUUUUAAGCCGGAGUUGUUAAUUGAGAUUUCAAUUAUAAUUUUUUUUUACUUUCAAAUUUAAUUAAAAACUAUUAAAUUAUAAUUUAUUAUUGAAAUUAAAGAUAUAUACUUUAAUAAUAAAUUAUUUAUUUACUAAUUGAGAUUUCAAUUAUAAUCUUUUUUUUACUUUCAAAUUUAAUUAAAAACUAUUAAAUUAUAAUUUAUUAUUGAAAUUUAAAAUAUAUACUUUAAUAAUAAAUUAUUUAUAUUUAAAUUAUAUUUAAAAUGAAGUUUCAAUUACCAACUAAGACUUUAGUUUAAAAAUGAAACCUCACUUAACAAUUAGACUUUAGUUCAAAAAUGCAAUUGAGACUUUAACUAAAAUAAUAAAAAAAAAUAUUUUUUUUAAUGAUAUGACGCUUGUGUGACAGCAAAUAGGUCAAUUUGAGUAUAAGUUUUAAAAAGUGGUUAGAUUUUAUAUUUUUUUUAAUAAAGGGGUCAUUUUGACCCAAAUCUCAUUAGAUUAGGCAUGCGGACGUGGGCGUUGAGUAUGCUUUUACGUGCGAGUGUCUUGCUACCUUAGGCACGAAACCCUCCUCUUCCACUCAUUUUGUUGCGGAAGGAGGCCAGGCCAUUCUUAUUCAAACAAAUUAGCUGGGAACUUUGAAAUCUUAAACCGUCGUAGAUAUGUGAUAAACUAGUACACCUUGUAUGAGAUAAUCUAAUCCUGAUUAUUGCUAACAUUGUCAAUUUUAAUCAGCUCCGGCCUGUAUGUUGUUGGACCAGUUGCCCACAAACAUGUAGUUCACAUGGAAGUGGGUCCUGAGGUCAGUACCUGUUACAUCUCCAACCACAAAAGAAUUAACUAAAGAUCAAAUGUGCAAUACGAGUACAAUCAGUAACGGGGCAGUGCACUGACUCAAUUAAAUUAUAUGGUUUGACCAUUAAACACUUUGAAUUUCUUCAUCACGUAAUCCAGUGCACUGACUCAAUUAAAAUUUACAAGAAAAUUAUAUGGUUUAACCAUUAAACACUUUGAAUUUCUUCAUCACGUAAUCCAAAAGUCUACGUUCUCACAGUAUUUCUCAACUUCAUUCAAUUCCCUCCUUCCCCAUUUUAAUACCCUCCUCCUCCUCCUCUCUCUCUCUCUCUCUCUCUCUUUCUCUCUCUCUCUCCAUGGAGUCUCCCAGCACCAUCAGAGUUGCCACUUCUCUCUGCUAUUUUUGCGUGCUUUUAUCUUUUACUACCACAGUGAUCGACCCUGUUGUUGCUUUGGAAAAUUGCAAAUUUCCAGCAAUCUUUAACUUAGGAGACUCCAAUUCAGACACAGGUGGAUAUGCUGCUGCCUUCUCUCAACCUCCCUGGCCUUAUGGGAGGACCUUUUUCCGCAUGCCAGCAGGCAGAUUCUCAGAUGGUCGCCUCAUGAUUGAUUUCAUUGGUACCAUUUACCUUCUCUUUAAACCUAUUUUCUGCAUAUCUACCUCUCAUUGGCCAAGAGCCAGUGUUUAUAAAAUCGGUACAGGGGAUAAGAAAAGCCAAAUUCAGACAUUCAUUUUUUAUUUCAUUUUCCAUCAAAAUUAGAAAAAGGGCUAGGAAAUGUACUGUUUUAGUCUAGGACUAACCAAAACUUGGCAGCAUUAUUGACUUGGUCAAAAUUUACAUGGUUUCAGCCAACAGUUUUGGUCUACCAUUUCUCAGUGCUUAUCUUAAUUCUCUGGGGUCCAAUUACACAAAUGGUGCAAACUUUGCCACGGCUGCUUCUACAAUCCGACUACCGACUAGCAUAAUACCUGCAGGUGGGCUCAGUCCAUUCUACCUGGACUUGCAAUACGAUCAGUUUGUGCAAUUCAAGUCCAGAACACUAAAGAUAAGGAAACGAGGUAAAUGAUAAUUUAACAUUAAUAGACGUUUUGUAGUGCAUAGCUAUAUAAAUGAUAUUUUUCUAAGUGGCUUUUAAUGAUUUUUAGGUGGGGUGUACAAGGACUUAAUGCCCAAGGAGGAGUAUUUUCCCAAAGCUCUAUACACGUUGGACAUCGGUCAGAAUGAUCUUGGUGAAGGGUUCUUUGCUAACAAGUCAAUCCAGGAAGUCAAUGCAACUGUCCCUGAUAUAAUCAAUGGUUUCUCCACCAAUGUCAGGGUAAUCCUUAGAUUAGGGACUUCGAUUUAAUGUAUGUUUUGAAGCAUUUCCUUUCUGGNNNNNNNNNNNNNNNNNNNNNNNNNNNNNNNNNNNNNNNNNNNNNNNNNNNNNNNNNNNNNNNNNNNNNNNNNNNNNNNNNNNNNNNNNNNNNNNNNNNNUAUGUUUUGAAGCAUUUCCUUUCUGGGUCUCGUUUUUUCAUAGCUUUUUUCUCUCUGUCACAACUUAUUGCAUAGUACUGAGACUAUGUACAUGAAUGAAUCACAUGAUGAUGCAGCGUAUUUACAAGUCGGGAGCAAGAUCAUUCUGGAUUCACAACACAGGACCCAUCGGCUGCCUCGCCUAUAUCUUGGUCAAUUUUCAGGCAGCUCAAAGGGACAGCGCCGGUUGUUCAAAGCCUCACAAUGAAGUGGCUCAGUACUUCAACUACAAGUUGAAGGAGGCUGUUGCCCAACUCCGGAAGGACUUUCCUUUAGCUGCAAUUACAUAUGUCGAUGUCUACUCUGUCAAGUAUUCCCUCUUUAGCCAACCCAAGAAAUAUGGUAAGCCAUAUGAUGAUAUAUAUAUAGGAAAAUAGUAGCUCGUGUCAUCUAACUUUAACUCAUUUAUGCACCAUGUUGUUAACAAAUGAUGCUUUUCUCAUAAUCUGCAGGGUUUGAGCUUCCACUUGUGGUUUGCUGUGGCUAUGGAGGUGAGUACAACUAUGGCAAUGAUGCCAGCUGUGGUAGUACCAUUACUGUUAAUGGUAGCCAAAUUUUUGUGGGAUCAUGUGAGCGCCCUUCACUUCGAGUGAAUUGGGAUGGAGUUCACUACACUGAGGCAGCUAACAAAUUUGUUUUUGAUCAAAUCUCCAGUGGAGCAUUUUCAGAUCCGCCUCUGCCCUUAAAAAUGGCAUGUCAUAGGAACGCUUCAUAUUGAAGGCAGACCAACGUGCACUUCUGUUGGUAUUAUCAUUAAUGUAUGCUCCUGGUUCUGGGUAAUAAGUAAUAAGCAUCAUGCAUUGAUCAAAGGGUAGCCUAAAAUGUACCUUUCUUGUAUGUAAUAAGCAUCAUGCAUUGAUCAAAGGGUAGCCUAAAAUGUACCCUUCUUGUAUGUAAUAAGCAUCUAACUCAACAGAGUUAGUGUACUCAUGCUCUCUAAUAUAUUUGGCAAAGCCCAUGUCCUUUAUUGCAGAACCUGCACUUCAUUUGUUAAAUUAUUAUUGUUUCACAGACAUGAAUAAGCCUGUUUUAAAAGGAAAUUGAGAGCAAAAAUGAAAAUAAAAAUAAAAAUGGGGCUGUGUAGAAAGGUGGGUGACGUGGGUCUAAUUUAAUAGUGACUUGAAAAUAUCCGAAGUAUGAUUCUUUGAAGAUUGAAGAAUCUUCAUAGGGUGUUUACUUCAAAAUUACACCUACCUUAAAAGUUUCCUUGAAUUGAAUUUAGCACAAUAGACACUCAUCAAUUAAACCAACCAAGAUAUUGUUUUGAUACAUUUUUGGUUGUCUAUUUUUAAAAAUAUAAAAAUAAUAAUAAUAAUAACUUUUAUCCAAAAAUGAUACUGAAAAAAAAAAACUUUAAAAUUUAAAAAUGAAAGAUAAAUUCAUACAUUUUAUAUAAUAUUUACUAAUUUUUUUAUUAUUUUUAUUUUAAAAAUAGAAAAUAUAGAAUGAAUAUUGUAAUUAACACUAAAUUUUAAUAUUUUUGAUAUGCAUUAUGGGGAAAUGGACAUUGAUCAUUUUCUAGAAUGUAGAAUUUUUAUUUGCAUAAUGAAGCAUAAGUUUUUGUUUGUAUGUUAGCCAAUACCUUACUUGUGGUGGAAAAGCCAAAGACACACAUGACAAAUUUCUAUGAAACGUUAUCUUCCAAGUUGCGGGUCCAAAUAUGCAUGCUGUGUCGUGUCGAGAAGAAUUAGCCAGGAGGCAACAUGUGAGCUCCUACAAAGUCAAGGCCUCCAUGAACGUGUUUGGAAUUUAUUUUCUCUAAUAUUAUAUAUAAAUUCAAAUUUUAGAUCUGACAAAAUCUUCAAGCUCGUGAAAGAAACUAAUAAAAACGAAUAUGAGACUAGAGUUAACUGCAAGGCUUUUAAGGUCAUGUUUGUCUGAUUUCAUGCAGCCUUAUCUUACUGCAAAGAUCACACGUAAGUUUGAAGAAAUUUUUGUAACUGAGCUUAAAUAUCACCGAGUCCUAGAAAUUAAAUUCAGUGGAAAAGUCCACCUUGUCACAGUAUACAAAUUUUUGUUCUCCCUUUUUGGAUAAUUACCCUUACAGGUAGGCUAGAAAAAAUAUGAUUGAUAAGGAUGGGUAUAUUUAAUAAUUCUUCUUAAGGGUAGGGUGAAAUUAAGAUAAUUUUUCUAAAGACCUUAUUUUUUUUGAAUGUCAAUACUACCCUUAAUAAGUGAAAAUCAACAGCAAAAUGUAAGAUUUUUGUCGAUAUUGAAGAAGAAAAAAAUCCAACACUUCAGGUUAUGAUCUGAAACCCUUUUCACAAAGCUUGUAUUUUUGUGUGAAUCUAGUAAGAAAUCCAUUAAAGGUAAGAUUUUUUUAUAAAAAAAAAAAAGCUGAAAAAAACAAAAAUACGUCAGUUUAUGCAAAUAAAUAAAUAAAUAAAUAAGUAAUUUAAAAUUUGGAUUGAAGGAACGAACUGUUAAUAAUUUUAACAAUGUAGAUCUAAAAUAUUAUAUCUGAAAUAUUGAAUGAGGUUUUGAGAAAGAAAUUACAUUUUUUGUGUUGAAUUUUUUUAUUUUAUUUUGGUCAUAUUGAAGAUGUGUUUUUAUUUUUAAUUUAUUUUUUGGGUGAGUUAUUUGAUAUGAUUAUUAUUGAUUUCCAUUAAAAAUGUUUGCACUUUAGUUUUGUUGUUGAGACUUGCUUGACAUGAGAGAAGAAAAAAAUUUCUCAAUUGUUUCAUGCUUUUUUGGAACCACUUUGUUUGAGUAUUUAUGAACAUAUUUGGAUUUUUAUUGAAAACUGAAAAUUAUAAUCAAUUGAGACAUAUUUUAUAUAAUAAAGAACAAUAUUUUUUGUAUAUUAGACAUGUAUAUGCCAAAAAACUCAUAAUUGCCCUAUUUUUAUAUAAAAAAUUAAUUUUAUAGAUUUUUUUUAUACAUCGACAACUUUAUGUAUUGAAAUUACAAUAGUGUAUUUUUGUUAUCUUUUUAUAAUUUUGGCUUGCAAAGAUGCUUUAUGAUAGGAAUACAACAUGAUAGCCUAGAAAUGCUAGUUUAGUAAAAAACGAAUUCAAUAUUUUGUCAUUUUGGUAUAUUAUAAUGUAUCGUAAUGUUAAUAUUUUUUUCAUUAUAACUAUAUUGCAUUUGUAUUGUAAUUAUACUUUAUAAUUGUCAGGAGAGAAGGAGAGAAGAUGUACUUCUCAAUUGGUAAAUGGACUUGAAAAAUUCAGGGUAAAUUGGUCUAAUAAAAAUGUAAGACCUUCAUAAGAAUUAUCAAACCUACCAACGUUUUUCAGUAAUUUUUUUCCCCAAUCGGGUAAUUUUCCCUUCCCUUUUCUUCUUGUUUUCAAAAAACCAACCAUAGGUUAUGAAAAUUUGUUUUUUUCUAGUUUUGGGUUUACCGCUGAAGAAAGAGUCUUUGGAUUUUCUAUAAUUACAAACCGAUAGCAAACCCAGAACCAGUCAAUUUGAUUUGUCAAGAAGCGAUAUGGUAUGGAAAUGAGUUUAUUUAUGGAAUAUUUGUAUUUUGGAGGUGUGGCAAUAAGAUGUAUGUUUGAUGCAGCUGUGGUUCUUGUGGGUACGAACUAAAGCUUUGCGAUCCUCUAAUCGGAACACAAAGAAUAUAGGCUCCAAAUAUGGGAAAAACAUAAAACGCGGCGUCAUAUCAUUUCUCCAAGUUGAUGAGAGUGGCUUUACCCUGGUUGAUGAGUUCAAAUGUAUACCCUACUUCAUCUCCAGGCACUCUUGGGGUUUGUUCUGCCACAGAACCACUUCUUUGCCGUAAGUGUGGCAACCAUGUUGGCAAUGCUUAUGUCAGGAAGUCUCCUUACCCACUUGUGUUCGAUGAAUCGGAUUCUGCCCCAGCCACAGCCACCACUGACAUCUCCACUUGUAGAAAAUAUGACAUUCGACUCCGUGCCCUGCAGCCCUCAUCUUCUGAGCCCUCUGCCAUUCCGCUUCUCACCUGAUCUGCAGAAUCAAACCAAGAAUAUUCUUAUGAGAGGGACUGUAUAGCAAUUGAGUCCUUUGUUUUGGUCUUGGCUUUUUGCUCUUUUGUAUUACUAGAUAGAUGGUGAGUCAGUGACUUGUAAAUAUCAGUUUCCAAGACUGGAUUAUCGAAGUUUUUUAUACUUCCAGUAACUUACAAAUAACACGGUCGAUGUAAUUUCUUGUUCUCACUGUUCUCUGUUAGCCAUGACCAUAAUCACAACAUAUCCUUCUAACUAUGAUCCACAUAUCCUCUUUCCUAUUCAAUUUGGAAACUGGAAAAGUUCAAAAUUCAACGAACUUUCCUUCGCCACGCCCACAGUUUAGGUCAUUGGAUUAGGCAUGCGGACGUGGGCGUUGAGUAUGCUUUUGCGCGCGAGUGUCUUGCUACCUUAGACACGAACCCCUCCUCUUCCACUCAUUUUGUUGCGGAAGGAGGCCAGGCCAUUCUUAUUCAAACAAAUUAGCUGGGAACUUUGAAAUCUUAAACCGUCGUAGAUAUGUGAUAAACUAGUACACCUUGUAUGAGAUAAUCUAAUCCUGAUUAUUGCUAACAUUGUCAAUUUUAAUCAGCUCCGGCCUGUAUGUUGUUGGACCAGUUGCCCACAAACAUGUAGUUCACAUGGAAGUGGGUCCUGAGGUCAGUACCUGUUACAUCUCCAACCACAAAAGAAUUAACUAAAGAUCAAAUGUGCAAUACGAGUACAAUCAGUAAUGGGGCAGUGCACUGACUCAAUUAAAUUAUAUGGUUUGACCAUUAAACACUUUGAAUUUCUUCAUCACGUAAUCCAAAAGUCUACGUCCUCCUCCUCCUCCUCCCUCUCUCUCUCUCUCUCUCUCUCUCUCUCCAUGGAGUCUCCCAGCACCACCAGACUUGCCACUUCUCUCUGCUGUAUUUGCGUGCUUUUAUCUUUUACUACCACAGUGAUCAACCCUGUUGUUGCUUUGGAAAAUUGCAAAUUUCCAGCAAUCUUUAACUUAGGAGCCUCCAGUUCAGACACAGGUGGAUAUGCUGCUGCCUUCUCUCAACCUCCCUGGCCUUAUGGGAGGACCUUUUUCCGCAUGCCAGCAGGCAGAUUCUCAGAUGGUCGCCUCAUGAUUGAUUUCAUUGGUACCAUUUACCUUCUCUUUAAACCUAUUUUCUGCAUAUCUACCUCUCAUUGGCCAAGAGCCAGUGUUUAUAAAAUCGGUACAGGGGACAAGAAAAGCCAAAUUCAGACAUUCAUUUUUAAUUUCAUUUUCCAUCAAAAUUAGAAAAAGGGCUAGGAAAUGCACUGGUUUAGUCUAGGACUAACCGAAACUUGGCAGCAUUAUUGACUUGGGCAAAAUUUACAUGGUUUCAGCCA